RNAcentral lists this ribosomal RNA (368 nucleotides) under uncultured bacterium. RNAcentral's name for it is "bacterial SSU rRNA". It matches the Rfam family "Bacterial small subunit ribosomal RNA", at positions 28 to 411 of the family's 1533-position model. The record is from RNAcentral.
AAUCAACGCUGGCGGCGUGCUUAACACAUGCAAGUCACGGGGGCCGCAAGGGUAACCGGCGAACGGGUGCGUAACACGUGAGCGACCUGCCUUUCCGCGGGGGAUAGCCGGCCCAACGGCCGGGUAAUACCGCAUACGCUUCUUCGGCCGCAUGGCGGGGAAGGAAACCUCCGGGGCGGAGAGAGGGGCUCGCGACCUAUCAGCUAGUUGGCGAGGUAACGGCUCACCAAGGCGGCGACGGGUAGCUGGCUGAGAGGAUGGCCAGCCACAUUGGGACUGAGAUACGGCCCAGACUCCUACGGGAGGCAGCAGUGGGAAUAUUGCGCAAUGGCCUAACGGCUGACGCAGCGACGCCGCGUGUGGGAGGA